UACGUAGGGUCCGAGCGUUGUCCGGAAUUACUGGGCGUAAAGAGCUCGUAGGUGGUUUGUCGCGUUGUUCGUGAAAACUCACAGCUUAACUGUGGGCGUGCGGGCGAUACGGGCAGACUUGAGUACUGCAGGGGAGACUGGAAUUCCUGGUGUAGCGGUGAAAUGCGCAGAUAUCAGGAGGAACACCGGUGGCGAAGGCGGGUCUCUGGGCCGAUACUGACGCUGAGGAGCGAAAGCAUGGGUAGCGAACAGG
This 253-nucleotide ribosomal RNA is filed under the name uncultured bacterium. RNAcentral's name for it is "partial 16S ribosomal RNA". It matches the Rfam family "Bacterial small subunit ribosomal RNA", at positions 524 to 776 of the family's 1533-position model. The record is from RNAcentral.